ACCUGGCUCGAUCAGUUGGUAGAGCAUGUGGCUCUUGACCUCAGAGCUGUGAGUUCAAGCUCAUGUUGGGUG
RNAcentral lists this transfer RNA (72 nucleotides) under Mustela putorius furo (domestic ferret). It matches the Rfam family "tRNA". From Rfam's summary of the family: Transfer RNA (tRNA) molecules are approximately 80 nucleotides in length. Their secondary structure includes four short double-helical elements and three loops (D, anti-codon, and T loops). The record is from Rfam by way of RNAcentral. Lineage: Eukaryota; Metazoa; Chordata; Mammalia; Carnivora; Mustelidae.